AUGGGAGCGGAGACGAACCUCUCGUCGCCGCAGCUAGAUCCGACCAAGUCGCGGGAGUCGGUGACCCUACUCAACGACGAUCAGAACUGGAUGUCGGCGUUGCGGGAGUCUGUGUCGUUCGGGCGGUUCCUAUCCGAGCCACUCGAGUGGGAUACCACGGGGCAUGUCUCGCCGGCAACGAUGGCGCACGUCCGAUCACCUCCGACAGCUGAGUUUGAUCUGCCGCUACAUGCCGCGGCGUUCAGACCUCAAUCUGCGUCCUCCAACUGCAGUGCUGCGCACAUUGGAAGUUCUGGACCAGCCCAGAGUUGUAAUCCAUGCUUGCCCGCGGCUCGUUCGUCACUAAGUGCAACACAUAUUGGAAAAGCCGAUCUCUAUAUGGUGUGCAUUUCUGCCCAGCAUAGGAUGGCGUACAAGGAGAAUAUGGAGUCACCAAAUAAUCAGCUGAUCCAAGGCACCACAGAGUCCCGUAGCAGGGUAUCAUGUGAUGCAAGCAAUGGCGGGUUCUGCACGCGGGCGUGGUGGCCGUGGUCGUGGCGGUGCCGCCGCGCAAGACUUCGUGCAACGGCCGACAGCUCCAGCCGACCUCUCGUCGAGGCUUGGCGGUCCAAGCAAGGGUGGGAGCGCGGCAGCCUCUCCCGCGGUGUCGAUCGGUCCCCUUGGGCCAACUUCACCGCCUCCACGAAUAGCUCUGCUCGCACACCAUGCGGUGCCAAGAGGUGGAUGAGGAGCUCAUCACUGCGGAGCUGA
This 750-nucleotide ribosomal RNA is filed under the name Triticum aestivum (bread wheat). RNAcentral describes it as "partial small subunit ribosomal RNA". Lineage: Eukaryota; Viridiplantae; Streptophyta; Magnoliopsida; Poales; Poaceae. The record is from RNAcentral.